Molecule: long non-coding RNA, 1072 nt
Organism: Leucoraja erinaceus (little skate)
Lineage: Eukaryota; Metazoa; Chordata; Chondrichthyes; Rajiformes; Rajidae
Exons: 2
Source: RefSeq, a predicted model, not a curated record
UUCAAACACUCUUCCCGCCUUGAGUCAGCAGCGGAGGGAGCAACGACAGAUGGAGCACAUAGGGCUCUCUCUUUGUGCAUGGUCCAACACCAUUCAAAACUAUUGGCACCCUAGCCAUGGGUUAUUUAACUUUACAAUCCUUUCCACAGCCCUGCACGGAGUUAUGGACUUGGACCUCAAAAUCCCUCUGUACAUCAAUGCUGUUCAGGGUCCUGCUAUUAACUGGAUACUUUGACGUCCCAAAGUACAACAGCUCACACUUGCCUGGAUUAAACUUAAUUGUCCCCCCACAUCAAUAACUGAUCAAUAUCCUUCUGUAUCCUUUGACAGCUUCAUCACUAUCUGUACCCUCAGCGAUGGCAACCUCGCCAACAGUCUGUCUGUCUUUUUUGGUAUUUUUAGUGUGUUUUGAAAAGUAUGUGUUAAUGUUCUCUGGUUUGUUUUAUGGGUGGGGGGGGUCAUGGGAAGCUUUUUUCUCAAUCUCUUACCUUGCCAGAGAUGCAAUUGUUUUUCGGAUCGUAUCUCCGGUCGCUCUGCGGCCCAACCUCACGGAGCUGGUGGCCUUGCUCGGGACUGACAUUGAGCUCCACCGAGGGGCCGUGGACUUACCAUCAGAGCAUGUGAUCCCUUGCCCCGGAUCGACGGUCUGCGGAUUUCAACAUCGAGGAGUUCGCAUGAUGUCGAGGCAGAUGUCGGGAAGCUCCAAGUUGCAGAAGGUUCAACCAGCCCCGACCCGGGGUCUGAUCUGAGAUCCCCCCCCCCACCGAUGCGGGAGCUUGAUCGCCGCAACGCAGAGGGCCCAACUGCCGGCUAUGGGAGCUAAGAUCGUCCCGUCACUGGAAGGCUCGAGGCCCCUGACCGUGGGAGAACAAAGAAGGGAAGAGAUUGAACUUUUUUUUCGCCUUCCAUCACAGUGAGGAAUGUGAAGGAGUCACUGUGGUGGAUGCUUAGGUUACAAUGUAUUUUGUGUGUUUUGUUGCUUUUUAUUGGUAUGACUGUAUGGCAAAUCAAAUUCCUCGUAUGUUGCAAAACAAAUUUGGCUAAUAAAGUAUGAUUAUGGUUAUGAACUCCA